Molecule: long non-coding RNA, 1232 nt
Organism: Humulus lupulus (European hop)
Lineage: Eukaryota; Viridiplantae; Streptophyta; Magnoliopsida; Rosales; Cannabaceae
Exons: 3
Source: RefSeq, a predicted model, not a curated record
GUUGUCUGAGUUUGUGUAACGUAUAAAUAAGAAGACAAACACAGUAACUCAUCCUCUUCCUCUGCUUCCUUCCUACUCUACCAUGCCCUUGCAGCUAAGCAGAGCUUGUUUUUGCUGACAAUGGCUGCUGCAAACACAGUGCCAAGCUUCAGAGGUUUUUAAAACUGACAAAAACAAGAUGCUUCUGCUAUGGAUGGAAGGAACCUAACUAGGAUUAUAAAUAAAAAUUUCUUCCUAUGGUGAAGAAUGGAGAAAUAAAAUCUAGGUAUUUACAAUAAGAAAACUCUGAAGUAGUUAUUCUAGGCAUAAGUUUUUGUUAAAACAGGACUCGGUUUUAUUUUAUUAUAUAAAUAUAUGUGUCUUUGUGUGUGUGUGUGUUUAUUGAAGCAAGAACAAUAAAGGGUGUGAAAUAAAGCAUUAACAACACCCCCUUAGAGUCUGAUAACACAAUUUGAUGCACCAUAGUUUCUAGGAAAAAAAGUGCCUCAGAUUGCAGAAAUAAAAGAGUCUCAAAAUAAAGAAAACAUUACAUAAAAUAAGGCACUUUCAAAGUGUCUGUGAGUCCUCUAGUUUGGUUCCUUCAGCAGCUCCAUCAGUACUGGCUGUCAAGCUCACGAAGGAUUGGAAUGAACAGCUCUGGACUAAAGGGCUUCUCAACAUAGUGAUCGCCACCAGCUUGAAUAAACCGCGAGCGCUCUUCUUCAACGUACAUUGCAGAGCUUCCCACAAUCCUGCUUUGCACGCCCAUGUUUCGAAGCGCUCUAGCAGUCUAUGAUGACAACAUAGGAAAAACAAGAAUAAGAUUUGGAUCGAUGACAAUAAGAUCGAAUGUAGCUCCACCAUGGAUGAGCUCAAUAGCAGCAGUACCACUCUCUACAUCCUGAGUGUCCACUCCAUAAGCAGCUAGGUAACUCUUCUCGAGCAUUCUGCAGAAUGGUACACUGUCCACAACAAGAGCAGUGAGCCUGUUCCUCCAGGUCAUAAAGGUUUUUUUUUUGGCGUUGAAGUCUUCACCGGGUGGAUUCCUACGCUGAGGCAGCUUCUCGCACCCAUUUGCACGUACUUGGCCGGGUAAAAAGUAUGAAGGUGCCAUUUCUCUUCAGUCAAAAACCAAAAACAGUAAGCAAAAUCAAGAGUAUCUAGCAUUAUCUUAUGUACUUUGUUUAGAUUCUAUAGAGUGUGUGAAUUGCAAUAUUGAGUUGAUAUAAUUCAUUUGAAAUUUUGUCUUUAAA